Molecule: ribosomal RNA, 251 nt
Filed under: uncultured bacterium
Lineage: Bacteria
Description: partial 16S ribosomal RNA
Rfam family: Bacterial small subunit ribosomal RNA
Source: RNAcentral
AUCCUCGACGUCAGGAGUCGAACCCGCUAGCUACAGGCUUAACACAUGCAAGUCGAGGGGCAGCAUGAACUUAGUUUGCUAAGUUUGAUGGCGACCGGCGCACGGGUGAGUAACACGUAUCCAACCUGCCGAUGACUCGGGGAUAGCCUUUCGAAAGAAAGAUUAAUACCCGAUGGCAUAGUUCUUCCGCAUGGUAGAACUAUUAAAGAAUUUCGGUCAUCGAUGGGGAUGCGUUCCAUUAGGUUGUUGGG